GCUCGGGCCCAGAUGGUGGGCUCCCAGAGCGCAAUGAGCUACAUACCAGCUCUGAACAAACAGACCAUCGCUCACUCGGCCGGACAGGGCCCCAACAACAUCCUUCCUAGAAAUGAAAGGAUCCCGCUGACAAUCACGUGGCCGUUUAGUCGUCUUUGGUCUCCUUCGGUCUGGAACAGCCUUUAAGAGCUUCCUCCGCCAUCGAGGACAUGGAGAUUACAGGCCAGUAAUCCUAGAGAAUGGCUUUCAACUUGGGUGCCUCUGAUGUCUCCUCACAAUUGGAUUUGGGUUGUGGAAUCUUGGGCCAUCACAGCAGUGAUCGAUGAUUUUCUCACAUUGCAUCCUGUCUGGUGACACGUGAUUUUGAUCUGUCGCAUCGCUGAUGAUGUCAUCAAUGCGAAUCGCUUCGUUAGGGUGCUGUCUGCCAAGAUUCUCCUCCAUAAAAUUACUAUUUAUCCCUUUGUAAUGAAUGGGUGUUUUGUGGGGAGGUCCUUUGAGACUAAGUAAAAUGUCCUAUGACA
Molecule: long non-coding RNA, 521 nt
Organism: Suricata suricatta (meerkat)
Lineage: Eukaryota; Metazoa; Chordata; Mammalia; Carnivora; Herpestidae
Exons: 2
Source: RefSeq, a predicted model, not a curated record